AAUCUAACUAUUAUUUGAAGUGCUUAUUUGGGUCUUUAAAUGGGUUUCAAAGUCUGGGUUUGAAUGCCAUAGAGUUACCUCUAAAGUCCCUGACUUGAUCUUUUGAUUUUGUUUCGCUAAGAGAUUUGAUUGUUAUUUGCCAUAUUUUUGCUUGUGCGGUUUCGCGUUUGAUUAUUUGUGACACAACAGUGGAAUUUAUGACUUUUUG
This 208-nucleotide unclassified non-coding RNA is filed under the name Hevea brasiliensis (rubber tree). Lineage: Eukaryota; Viridiplantae; Streptophyta; Magnoliopsida; Malpighiales; Euphorbiaceae. The record is from RNAcentral.